This 446-nucleotide ribosomal RNA is filed under the name uncultured bacterium. RNAcentral's name for it is "partial 16S ribosomal RNA". It matches the Rfam family "Bacterial small subunit ribosomal RNA", at positions 338 to 795 of the family's 1533-position model. The record is from RNAcentral.
CCUACGGGGGGCAGCAGUCGAGAAUUAUUCACAAUGGGGGAAACCCUGAUGGUGCGACGCCGCGUGGGGGAAUGAAGGUCUUCGGAUUGUAAACCCCUGUCAUGUGGGAGCAAAUUAAAAAGAUAGUACCACAAGAGGAAGAGACGGCUAACUCUGUGCCAGCAGCCGCGGUAAUACAGAGGUCUCAAGCGUUGUUCGGAAUCACUGGGCGUAAAGGGUGCGUAGGCUGUUUCGUAAGUCAUGUGUGAAAGGCGCGGGCUCAACCCGCGGACGGCACAUGAUACUGCGAGACUAGAGUAAUGGAGGGGGAACCGGAAUUCUCGGUGUAGCAGUGAAAUGCGUAGAUAUCGAGAGGAACACUCGUGGCGAAGGCGGGUUCCUGGACAUUAACUGACGCUGAGGCACGAAGGCCAGGGGAGCGAAAGGGAUUAGAUACCCCUGUAGUC